RNAcentral lists this ribosomal RNA (460 nucleotides) under uncultured bacterium. RNAcentral describes it as "partial 16S ribosomal RNA". It matches the Rfam family "Bacterial small subunit ribosomal RNA", at positions 338 to 795 of the family's 1533-position model. The record is from RNAcentral.
CCUACGGGAGGCAGCAGUGAGGAAUAUUGGUCAAUGGACGAGAGUCUGAACCAGCCAAGUAGCGUGAAGGAUGACUGCCCUAUGGGUUGUAAACUUCUUUUAUAUGGGAAUAAAAUGUUCCACGUGUGGGAUUUUGUAUGUACCAUAUGAAUAAGGAUCGGCUAACUCCGUGCCAGCAGCCGCGGUAAUACGGAGGAUCCGAGCGUUAUCCGGAUUUAUUGGGUUUAAAGGGAGCGUAGGUGGAUUGUUAAGUCAGUUGUGAAAGUUUGCGGCUCAACCGUAAAAUUGCAGUUGAAACUGGCAGUCUUGAGUACAGUAGAGGUGGGCGGAAGUCGUGGUGUAGCGGUGAAAUGCUUAGAUAUCACGAAGAACUCCGAUUGCGAAGGCAGUUCACUGGACUGCAACUGACACUGAGGCUCGAAAGUGUGGGUAUCAAACAGGAUUAGAUACGCUUGUAGUC